This 701-nucleotide long non-coding RNA is filed under the name Citrus x clementina. RNAcentral describes it as "Citrus clementina (C. clementina) long non-coding RNA (CCLE_LNC000789)". The record is from RNAcentral. Lineage: Eukaryota; Viridiplantae; Streptophyta; Magnoliopsida; Sapindales; Rutaceae.
ACAAUCAGUCAUCAGAAAAAGCAGAGUGGAAGUCAACAAAAAGAGUUUUUAUAUUAUGCAUGAUGUGCCUUUUAGUUUUGUGGAAAUUGCGCUGUGGGCCACCACAUCAAAGCCACGUAUUCUCUUUGCUUUACUCUCUAUAUAAUAAAUAAAAAUAAAUAAAAAUAAAUAAAAUAACAGAAGCAAGACGACUUCCUAGUCAAUAACCAAUAAAUCACAGCCACGUGGAUAACAAAGAUAAACACGAAGCACCAAUUAUGACGUGCCGAGAAAUAAUAAGCGCAGCAGUAAAUGCUUCUAUUGUCGUUCACACGCACCUGAUAUCUCCCCAUGUGCCUUAAAUUCAGCAGAAACGACGUGUCACUCGCCCGACUCUCCGUCAACAAAAGCUCUAAAAUACACAAACAAAAACAGUCAAACCUUAACAUUAAACCCCCUGCGCGAAAACCUCACUGGAGGCACCCAACCUUCCCCUCACCACCAUCAUCAUGAUCAGCUUACCCCCCGCAUAUCCUCCAAUCAGCCCGACCACAGCUUACGACAUCACGUCGUCGUCGUCGUCGUCGUCGUCGUCGUCGUCAACAUCACCACCGUCGAAUAAUAAUAACAAUAAUAAUAAUACCAAACCUCCAGUUGACUUCAGCCCGCCGUUGAUCGCCAUGGUAGUUGUGGUUGCCACCGCGUUUCUAGUCGUCACAUAC